UGGUUCUCGCAUCGAUGAAGAACGCAGCGAAUUGCGAUAUGUAAUGUGAAUUGCAGAAUUCAGUGAAUCAUCGAAUCUUUGAACGCACCUUGCACCCUCUGGUAUUCUGGAGGGUAUGCCUGUUUGAGUGUCAUUAAUCUCUCAACGCAAGAAAUUUUGUUUCUUGUGCUUGGAUAGUGAAGGUUCUGCUGGCACAAAUAACUGUCAGCUCCUUUUAAAUGCAUUAGCGGAGCAGUGUAGGACUGGCCUCAGUUUGAUAAGAAACAUUAUCUAUGCUGUCGCUAGAUUUCCUCUUUGUGUUCAGCUUCAAACUGUCUUCGGACUGUCUCUCUUGAGGCAAAACAAUUCAUUGAUCGACCUCAAAUCAGGUAGGACUACCCGCUGA
This 385-nucleotide unclassified non-coding RNA is filed under the name uncultured fungus. RNAcentral's name for it is "partial contains 5.8S ribosomal RNA and internal transcribed spacer 2". The stretch from base 1 to 133 matches the Rfam family "5.8S ribosomal RNA", at positions 22 to 154 of the family's 154-position model. Lineage: Eukaryota; Fungi. The record is from RNAcentral.